Small nucleolar RNA from Ailuropoda melanoleuca (giant panda), 123 nucleotides. The record is from Ensembl. Lineage: Eukaryota; Metazoa; Chordata; Mammalia; Carnivora; Ursidae.
AGGCACUGUUGAUGGCUUGUUAGUCUGGCUGUAGCUAUCAGGCUCCAUUCCAGUACUACAGCAGCUCCAGUGGCAUAGGACUGACUGACUCAUGGCUCUCAGUUUCAGGUCCUGGGGACACAA